Molecule: ribosomal RNA, 795 nt
Filed under: Pentasetacus sp. B29
Lineage: Eukaryota; Metazoa; Arthropoda; Arachnida; Trombidiformes; Phytoptidae
Description: eukaryotic LSU rRNA
Rfam family: Eukaryotic large subunit ribosomal RNA
Source: RNAcentral
GAAAAGAAAGCAACAGCGAUUGCCCGAGUAACGGCGAGUGAAACGGCACAAGCCUAUCACCAAGUCUCGAGAGUUAAUUUGCUUUCGAGAGGUGCGGUGUUACAGACUCUGGUCUAUUCUUGGCUAUUAGCAUUCAUGAUCGAGUACAAGUCCCAUUGAGUUGGGCUGCACUGAGGCUUCAAAACCUUAGUGGCCAGAGAGGGUGAGAGUCCCUUAGUGCUCGGAUGCUAAAGCUAGCGACCAGUGUACGUUUUGUUGUAAUAGACAUAACGAAUCUGUUAGAGUCAGGAUGCUUGAAAGUGCAUCCCAAAGAGCGAGGUAAACCACUCGUAAGGCUAAAAUAUUGCUGCGACACCGAUAGCAAACAAGUACCGUGAGGGAAAGUUGAAAAGCACUUUGAAGAGAGAGUUAGAAAGGGCGUGAAACCGCACACUGGUAAACUGACAGUUUGGUUAGGUGUUGGGUACUGAGAGUUCAACUAUAAAUUUUAUUUAUAGUGCAUUCUUUUGGUACACCAUACGAUUGCACCGGAUUAGAGACUAGUCUUUGACGCUAGCUAUAAGAGUACCUUGUGUGUCUUAUAUGCUAACUGAAAGCACUAGAUACUGAUUCGUUUUAAAAUAGGCCUAUUGGUCUUUAAGAUAAAUUAUAAUAUGGUUUUACUGGCGACUAGCAUCAAGUUGUAAGUGUAGUGCAAGUUAUAUUGUCUGGCAACAGGCAAUUGACUAACUCACCCAAUUUCAGUAUGUUAGCUCCAAAUGUAGCCUAUUAUUUUUAUUGGAUGCAGUCGAAAGC